This 497-nucleotide ribosomal RNA is filed under the name uncultured bacterium. RNAcentral describes it as "partial 16S ribosomal RNA". It matches the Rfam family "Bacterial small subunit ribosomal RNA", at positions 30 to 523 of the family's 1533-position model. The record is from RNAcentral.
AUUGAACGCUGGCGGCAUGCCUUACACAUGCAAGUCGAACGGUAACAGGUCUUCGGAUGCUGACGAGUGGCGAACGGGUGAGUAAUACAUCGGAACGUGCCUAGUAGUGGGGGAUAACUACUCGAAAGAGUGGCUAAUACCGCAUGAGAUCUACGGAUGAAAGCAGGGGAUCGCAAGACCUUGUGCUACUAGAGCGGCCGAUGGCAGAUUAGGUAGUUGGUAGGAUAAAAGCUUACCAAGCCGACGAUCUGUAGCUGGUCUGAGAGGACGAUCAGCCACACUGGGACUGAGACACGGCCCAGACUCCUACGGGAGGCAGCAGUGGGGAAUUUUGGACAAUGGGCGAAAGCCUGAUCAGCAAUGCCGCGUGCAGGAUGAAGGCCUUCGGGUUGUAAACUGCUUUUGUACGGAACGAAAAGCCCCGGGUUAAUACCCUGGGGUCAUGACGGUACCGUAAGAAUAAGCACCGGCUAACUACGUGCCAGCCGCCGCAGUAA